RNAcentral lists this ribosomal RNA (269 nucleotides) under uncultured prokaryote. RNAcentral's name for it is "partial 16S ribosomal RNA". It matches the Rfam family "Bacterial small subunit ribosomal RNA", at positions 524 to 794 of the family's 1533-position model. The record is from RNAcentral.
UACGUAGGUGGCAAGCGUUGUCCGGAAUUACUGGGUGUAAAGGGAGCGUAGGCGGGAAUACAAGUCCAGUGUUAAAACUAACGGCUCAACCGAUAGAUGCGCUGGAAACUGUAUUUCUUGAGUGAAGUAGAGGCAGGCGGAAUUCCUAGUGUAGCGGUGAAAUGCGUAGAUAUUAGGAGGAACACCAGUGGCGAAGGCGGCCUGCUGGGCUUUACUGACGCUGAGGCUCGAAAGCAUGGGUAGCAAACAGGAUUAGAUACCCUGGUAGU